UGCCAGGAACCAUGCGAGAGAUCGCCGCCUAACCCCGCCAGGUCCGGAAGGAAGCAGCGGUCGGCGGUUGGUUUUUGCGCCGUGGCCCUCCUGGCGCGG
RNAcentral lists this signal recognition particle RNA (99 nucleotides) under Treponema sp. RNAcentral's name for it is "signal recognition particle sRNA small type". It matches the Rfam family "Bacterial small signal recognition particle RNA". From Rfam's summary of the family: The signal recognition particle (SRP) is a universally conserved ribonucleoprotein involved in the co-translational targeting of proteins to membranes. Archaeal SRP consists of a 7S RNA and homologues of the eukaryotic SRP19 and SRP54 proteins. The record is from RNAcentral. Lineage: Bacteria; Pseudomonadati; Spirochaetota; Spirochaetia; Treponematales; Treponemataceae.